GAGGGUAUAGCUCAGUGGUAGAGCAUGUAUUUAGCAAGCACAAGAUCCUGGGUUCAUUCCCCAGAAGCUCCA
Transfer RNA from Camelus ferus (Wild Bactrian camel), 72 nucleotides. It matches the Rfam family "tRNA". Rfam says of the family: Transfer RNA (tRNA) molecules are approximately 80 nucleotides in length. Their secondary structure includes four short double-helical elements and three loops (D, anti-codon, and T loops). The record is from Rfam. Lineage: Eukaryota; Metazoa; Chordata; Mammalia; Artiodactyla; Camelidae.